AAUAAAAUGCCUGAAAAAGGGGUACUUUGAUAGAGUAAAUCAUGGAUUAUAUAUACUUUUAUUA
RNAcentral lists this transfer RNA (64 nucleotides) under Schizaphis graminum (greenbug). RNAcentral describes it as "tRNA-Ile". Lineage: Eukaryota; Metazoa; Arthropoda; Insecta; Hemiptera; Aphididae. The record is from RNAcentral.